UCCAGGUCCACCAGGUUUGAGAGGGGUGAAAAUAGAUAGAAACAUCACAGAGCCAAAGGCAAAGAAAACGAACCAAAUGCAGGGCUGACCCAGAGAACUUCAAGGCUCUCACAGAAGCUUCUAGUCAAUCUUUGUUGGCUGUAAGCAGCUGCCAUAUGGGAAUUUCACUUCAGAAAUGUCAGAAGUGGAAGAAAGGGCAAGAUCCGUCUAUCAUAACCUACGGUGGAAGGGGAGAGAGUGAAGAAACUGCUGGGGCGAUUCCUUGGCUACACAACAGUAGAUGUCCCUUUCUGUGGUGGCCCCAGCUCUCCUGCUGGCCCAUGAAGUAAUAGAAUAAAGACUAUUCUACAAAGAGUCUAAUGAGCCAAACUGUAUGCCCUUGGGAAUACAGAAUGAGAAGAUAGAAUCUGUGAUGUCAUGAAACAUAAAUUCCCAUUUGUUAAGAACCUGAGCUCUGUGAACAGAUCACCUGGAUUACGUCUCAGACAACUAGCUGUAUGAUUUAGGGCGGCCAUGAGGAAGCAGUAGACUAGGUGUAAGAAGUGCUGUUGGAGUGGGUCUGGGGAGACUCAAGAGCUGGAGGCUAAUGGGGCAUUCAGCAUGCUUGGAGACCUAAGAUCCCACCGGCAGGCAUGGAGGACCAGCCUCAGAGAGCAAGCUGAUCUGAAGACCAGAAAUAUGAAAUCAACAUCACUGGACUGAAAUAAAAAUGUUGGUGCACACCCUUUGGAAGUUGUAGGGGAAAAUCUGUUUCUUGCCUUUUCCAGCUUCCAGCAGCUGCUGGUAUUUCUUGUUUUAUGGCUGUGUCAUUCCAACCUUCAAGGCCAACAUCUUCUAAUCUUUCUUAGUUCCACCUUCAUAGCACAUUCUCUGCAUGCAGUGAGGAUCUUCCUCUAUCUCCCUCUUAUAAAGAUAUAUGUGGCUGCUUUUAGUGUCCACUUGGAUAAUCCCUAACUUAAUCACACUUGCAAAAAUAUAUAAGGCAACAUUCAUGAGAGACUGGAAUUAUGCAGUAGAUACCUUUGUGGACCAUUUUUUAGCCUGCCACAGUAAAAAUCCAUGAGAUGGUGUGGUACAGACUCUGAGUGG
Microcebus murinus (gray mouse lemur) is the source of this 1089-nucleotide non-coding RNA. The record is from RefSeq and is a predicted model, not a curated record. NCBI's taxonomy places the organism in Eukaryota, Metazoa, Chordata, Mammalia, Primates, Cheirogaleidae.